UCGAUUUGCACAACAGACAGGAUAUCCAGU
Molecule: non-coding RNA, 30 nt
Filed under: Mus musculus (house mouse)
Lineage: Eukaryota; Metazoa; Chordata; Mammalia; Rodentia; Muridae
Source: RNAcentral